CAAAGACUUUGAAAACCUGUGAGCAGAUUCCCAAGCAUGCCGAAUGAGUUUAUUAACUGAGUCCUGAGUCAAAUGAAUGUCAUGAUUUAGGAUAUUUUGCAUCAAAUUGAAUAACGAUUCUGUCCAUACCAAUUUAUUGCCAAUUAAGCAUUGAUGAUAGGGAAGGCAGACGAAUUUCUUCAGAUCGUCUUCGUCACUGAG
Molecule: unclassified non-coding RNA, 201 nt
Filed under: Hevea brasiliensis (rubber tree)
Lineage: Eukaryota; Viridiplantae; Streptophyta; Magnoliopsida; Malpighiales; Euphorbiaceae
Source: RNAcentral